AUGCCAAACAGACUCAGUAUUGGUGAUCUAAAUAAAAAAGACCUGUUCUCUAUAGAGACUGUGGACUUGAUGGACAGGACGGGAGAGCUGGUGAACUUGGCUGAGAGAGAGCAGAGCACCGACCUCGUCAGCAGUUUGCUGAAGGAGAGAGAGAGCUAUAUUCCAUUACGUGUAUCACGAGGUGAAGGCAGUGAAGGUCCAAAGUAUACUGCAGUGUAUGACUUUGGGACAAGUUACCCUGAGCUAGCAGGCAAUGCUUCUAUUUUUCAUUCAUUAAUCUGUAAUUUAUUAAAAAGGAAGAAAUUGAUAUCAAGAAAAACACUCCUUACUGCUUUUUUUCAUUGUAUUGUUCUUUUAAAGGAUUUUCCCACCAAUCUAAUGAAACUAAAAUUGAUGCUUACUAAUCAGCUGAAGUAUAGCAAAAUUGUUGUGGCUAUUUCACAUAAUAUCUGAAGUUGUUGGUUCUCUCUUUAAUGUAAUAUUUCUUUCUGCUAAAUUUAGAGAUUCUGAGAAAACUGUCAAAUCCUUCAAAGGAGCGGGACAAAAGGGGUGGAGCAUCUAAAAGGGGAGGAGUCAGUCAACACCGCAUCAAAGCUGCCAUCAACUUUAAGAAAGCCAUCACAACACCUCGGAGCUGAAAACACUCUCUUACUAUUUCCUUGUGUUCUUUAACAAUUUUAUAAAUAUUUUAGAAUUGGUUAUAUCAUAUAUAUCAAUGUGAAGAAUAUUUUUUGUUUGUGUAUAUACACAACCAUUCAAAAGUUUGGGGUCACUAUGAUUGAAAAAAAAAAGAAAUUAAUAAUUUUAUUCAGCAACAAUGUAUUAAAUUGAUCAAGAGAGAUAUUUAUAAUGUUACAAAAUAAUUAUAUUUUAAAUAAAUUCAGUUUUGUAAACUUUCUAUUAAUCA
Long non-coding RNA from Cyprinus carpio (common carp), 907 nucleotides. Lineage: Eukaryota; Metazoa; Chordata; Actinopteri; Cypriniformes; Cyprinidae. The record is from Ensembl.